Molecule: non-coding RNA, 4302 nt
Organism: Salmo salar (Atlantic salmon)
Lineage: Eukaryota; Metazoa; Chordata; Actinopteri; Salmoniformes; Salmonidae
Source: RefSeq, a predicted model, not a curated record
UUGGGGUUGGGACUCUCAGUUGAAGGCAGGUGUUGUCUAUCUGCCUUUGAUUGAGAGUUCCAUAUAUUAGGGUGUGUUUGUAUGUGUGAUUUGUGGGUGAUUGUUCUGUGUUUCGCCUUGUGCCUUACCAGACUGUUUUUGUUGAUCGUUCGUGUUUUUGUUAUUUUGUACGUUCAUUUUGAAGAUAAUUAAAAAUCAAGAUGAGCAUUCACGUACCUGCUGCGUUUUGGUCCUCAUUCACCGACAACAACCGUGACAAUUAGACCAAUGGGAGAGAUGGACUCGUAAGCCUCCAAACCAAUCGCACAAAGAAGGAACAAAAACCAAGAUCUGGAGUGAGACUCCAACUGGCUCAUCACCUUUUAUUAUUUAAAAUAGGGAUUUCCAGAGGAGUCUUGUAAGGAAGGUGGUGGUCGAGCUUUUCCUGGAGAGCAAAAGAAACAAAGCUCCUUUAUCUCACAGAGAGGCUGAGGUGGACAUCACAGGACAUCGCUCCUCUCUGAGAGGCUGAGGUGGACAUCACAGGACAUCGCUCCUCUCUGAGAGGCUGAGGUGGACAUCACAGGACAUCGCUCUUCUCAGAGAGGCUGAGGUGGACAUCACAGGACAUCGCUCCUCUCAGAGAGGCUGAGGCGGACAUCACAGGACAUCGCUCUUCUCUGAGAGGCUGAGGUGGACAUCACAGGACAUCGCUCUUCUCUGAGAGGCUGAGGUGGACAUCACAGGACAUCGCUCUUCUCUGAGAGGCUGAGGUGGACAUCACAGGACAUCGCUCCUCUCUGAGAGGCUGAGGUGGACCUCACAGGACAUCGCUCCUCUCAGAGAGGCUGAGGUGGACAUCACAGGACAUCGCUCUUCUCUGAGAGGCUGAGGUGGACAUCACAGGACAUCGCUCUUCUCUGAGAGGCUGAGGUGGACAUCACAGGACAUCGCUCCUCUCAGAGAGGCUGAGGUGGACAUCACAGGACAUCGCUCUUCUCUGAGAGGCUGAGGUGGACAUCACAGGACAUCGCUCCUCUCAGAGAGGCUGAGGUGGACAUCACAGGACAUCGCUCUUCUCUGAGAGGCUGAGGUGGACAUCACAGGACAUCGCUCCUCUCAGAGAGGCUGAGGUGGACAUCACAGGACAGUGUUGCUCCUGGAGAAGGGGAUGAGAGGAGAGAGGAAGAGAUGAAAGAAGACAAGACAGGUGCUCUUCAGCUGCUGUGGCCACGCCUCCUGCCCUGUCAGGGAGAGAACCAACCAAUCAAGGUCCAGGCAGCUUUGUGACCUGACCUUGUUGAACACUCUGACAGGUGUGUUCUAGAACAGAACACUGAAGUAGCCUAUCAUGAUGCGGUGGUGUCUGUGUGGUGAAGCUGAACUUGGAUCUCUCUACAGGCUUUUCAUCUAUCUGCAAAAUGUAUUUUGUAACGGCCACAAACAAUGAUAUGUUUUUGAAUGUACCGACUGAUAUCACGAUGAUGCGCUUGAAUGUGUCGUUUUUGUACGUCGCUCGAUGACUCGUCAAAUCUAAAUGGCCGCCUCAUUCUUAACAAACUUCAGGGCAAGCUAUUAGCACGAAUAACCAAACUCAGCUACGGUUUGUACGAUAAAGACAUUACAUUGAGUUGGCUUUCCCAUCAUGUUAGACACAGCUCACACACACUCUUUCAGUGUUUUAGCUGUUUUCAUUGUUUGCAAGUAAGUUGAUUGUCAUCGUCUCUUUAUCAUUGAGCUACACUGCCAGAGUAGAGGGUGAUCUGAACUUUUUAAAUCCGUCAUGGUGGUUUGUUGCUCUUGUUUUUAACUUUCUUCUACUUUUUCUUCUUAUGUACAUUAUCCUGAUUGAAUACGUUGGUUUGAUCUGUUCCUAUUUCAGUAGGGGUUGGGACCCCGAUAUAACAUCAUAUAAUGACAAAUGUUCGUAUGACCAUGAUAAUGAAAGUUAAACAUGGUGAUUAACAACCUGCAUGUCGAGAGACACACACACACACACACACACACACACACACACACACACACACACACACACACACACACACACACACACACACACACACACACACACACACACACACACAGGCUUACAUCAUGCAAGUAUAAUGUGAUCUGUGUGUGGGUGAUGGUAAGGUCAAGGGACAUUUAUAGCUUUAUAAAGACUUGUGACAGAGAACAUGUUGAAGUCAUAUACAAGCACAGAUGCCCAUGGUAUGCUAUUACACUGACUGUUUUGAUGGGGGAAAUGUUGGUUUUCAAGUGAGGGGAAAAAAUAUAUUUUAGAGACGUAUCUACAGUACUAGGAAGUUUUAAGACGAGGAGUAAUGAUAAUAUGAAGGAAGAGUCAUAGAAACAAAUACAUAUUUGUCAUGUUUUUCACUUCAUACUCUGCCUUAGAAGGCAUUAGUCUGCCUUCUGAUACCACCAUAUUCUACUCUCAGGGUGCGUUCCAGGUCGCCUUUACUGCAGUCGCGCUGCGGCUGAGCAUUUUAGCCGAUUACUAUAUUAUAUGUAUAUCAUAUUAAUGUGGUUCCAGAGAGGUAAAUACUUUUCCAGAGGUUGUGAGGGACUAUCAUCUGAGCAGUGUGUCGACUGCAAUAACGAUGACAUGAAACACGCCCAAUGUCUUUGUUUCAGGGCUGUGACCACACCCGGCCACCAUCACAUCCCGAGACUGUGGAAUGUAGCUAACAGAAUGUAAGGGACUGAAAUAGAACAACUUCCUGCAUUCUCUUCCAUCAUCCCAGGGCCAGUGAGAGACUGAGGGCAGAUAUAUUACAUGUUUUCCGUUAAAAACAUACUUUAAAAAAAGGGAAGUGCACAGUGGCAUAACGUGUAUUUAUGUUUUCCAUUUUAGUAAUUUAUCAGACGCUCUUAUCCAGAGCGAUUUACAGUUAGUGCAUUCAUCUUAAUAAACUGUAGCUAGGUGGGACGGGUUCUGGUGUAGUUUUUGAGCAUAGACUGAAGCUAGGGAGGGGAAGUUUCUCUUGCUGUUUCGUAGGUAUGCACCAUGGUCUUGUAGUGGAUGCGAGCAUUACGGGAAUACUGAACAUGAGCUGGGGUGGCUUGCAAGAAGUUCUUAUAACUUUUUGCGUACUGACAGUACACCUUUCUCUCAUUCUGACUCCCUCUCUGUCUGCAAAUUUACAUUUAAAAAGCCAAACCUAACAAUAUUUCCAGAAAUAUUGCCCCUGUCUGUCUGUGUGGUGCGCGCGUUUGUCCAUCACUCCAGCCAGUUGACGUGACAAACCAUCUUGUGAGUUGACAGAAAUACUUUCCCCAAAACCUUUUCAAUUAAAUAUUUAUUGGAGGUAGGCUUACCUGGCAGAAGUAUAUAAUGAGUAUCUAUUAUUUGUUAUUUGAAAACUUGAAAUGCGCAGAAAUAAAAUGAAAUGCCAUGAAAUGCGCAGCAGUAUGGAACCAUUGCUGGACUGGCACAUUCCUCACUCAGAUGCGCAAUUAAAGGGCCAGAUGCGCAAUUACGGGAAAAUUGCACAAAGAUAUCUACAUUUGUUAGUUUUCUUCCAGACCUAAAAAAAAAAAUGUCCUCAGAGGCGAUUUAAGAAUCGACUUGAACUCAGAACAUCCCAUUUCGUUGUUUCUCUAUGAAUCAUUUUAAUUUUGAGUGAAAACAAUUCUAAAACCAGGAAAAACAACACUGACAACAAAUCUCUGAUUUUAGAGUUGUUUAUUAACCAUUAUUUUAUCAGGUAUAUUGACAGAAAAUAUAGUGAACUACUUUCUCUUGUGUAUCAAGGACCUGGAGAAGAAUGGGCCUAUUUUAUAAUGUACAAAGAAAUGAGUAGCUCUAAUGGCAGAAAAGGUUGGAGACGCCUGAUUUGCACUGAAUGUACCAAUGUUUUGGGGCUUUAAUUGGGGCUUUUGACGCUAUUCAUCCAAGUCUUGGUCUCUCAACCUCCAUGGUCUUCACAUUCACCACCAUCACUGAGUAACCGAUAGCCCAUCACACCAACCCACUAGUUCUUUACUCACAGAAACACUUUAACUACAACACAACAUGUGUAUAUAUAUAUAUAUAUAUAUAUAUAUAUAUAUAUAAAAAUUAUCACUAAUUGUGACCAAUUUGAAAGUUGCAUCCAUGUUUCAGUUGUUCUCACCUUCUUGUAAUGGAAUGUUCUGUCUGUUCCUCUCUGGCUGGCUGUCUGCCUGUCUGGUCCUGUGACCGGCAGGACUCUAGGAUUAGAUACUGUCUGCUGGGGGGUUCAAGGCUGUGUCUUUGUCAGAGCUUCACUCUAUGCAAAGCUUUUUUCUCCGUGUCACUCCUUUAUGAUUGUAUGAAAAAAAAAAGAUAAAAAUAAUUGA